UACGUAGGGGGCAAGCGUUGUCCGGAUUUAUUGGGCGUAAAGAGCGUGUAGGCGGCUAGGUAGGUCCGUUGUGAAAACUCGAGGCUCAACCUCGAGACGUCGAUGGAAACCAUCUAGCUAGAGUCCGGAAGAGGAGAGUGGAAUUCCUGGUGUAGCGGUGAAAUGCGCAGAUAUCAGGAAGAACACCAAUGGCGAAGGCAGCUCUCUGGGACGGUACUGACGCUGAGACGCGAAAGCGUGGGGAGCGAACAGG
This 253-nucleotide ribosomal RNA is filed under the name uncultured bacterium. RNAcentral's name for it is "partial 16S ribosomal RNA". It matches the Rfam family "Bacterial small subunit ribosomal RNA", at positions 524 to 776 of the family's 1533-position model. The record is from RNAcentral.